UCUCUACGAAAACGCCUCUUCUGACACUCCAACUCGAUUGGCCCCAUUGAUUGAUGGUGCUUGCACCUGAUUGAUUUUGGUCGCCAACGAGUGGCGGACGGGUGAGUAACACGAUAGUGUAACCUGCCGCCAAGCGGGGGACAACAUUUGGUGAACAGAUGCUGCUACCGCAUAACAACGUUGUUCGCAUGAACGACGCUUAUAAGAUGGCUUCUCUCUAUCACUUCUGGAUGGACCUGCGGUGCAUUAACUUGUUGGUGGGGUAACGGCCUACCAAGGCGAUGAUGCAUAGCCGAGUUGAGAAACUGAUCGGCCACAAUGGGACUGAAACACGGCCCAUACUCCUACGGGAGGCAGCAGUAGGGAAUCUUCCACAAUGGGCGCAAGCCUGAUGGAGCAACACCGCGUGAGUGAAGAAGGGUUUCGGCUCGUAAAGCUCUGUUGUUAAAGAAGAACACGUAUGAGAAUAACUGUUCAUACGUUGACGGUAUUUAACCAGAAAGUCACGGCUAACUACGUGCCAGCAGCCGCGGUAAUACGUAGGUGGCAAGCGUUAUCCGGAUUUAUUGGGCGUAAAGAGAGUGCAGGCGGUUUUCUAAGUCUGAUGUGAAAGCCUUCGGCUUAACCGGAGAAGUGCAUCGGAAACUGGAUAACUUGAGUGCAGAAGAGGGUAGUGGAACUCCAUGUGUAGCGGUGGAAUGCGUAGAUAUAUGGAAGAACACCAGUGGCGAAGGCGGCUACCUGGUCUGCAACUGACGCUGAGACUCGAAAGCAUGGGUAGCGAACAGGAUUAGAUACCCUGGUAGUCCAUGCCGUAAACGAUGAGUGCUAAGUGUUGGAGGGUUUCCGCCCUUCAGUGCCGGAGCUAACGCAUUAAGCACUCCGCCUGGGGAGUACGACCGCAAGGUUGAAACUCAAAGGAAUUGACGGGGGCCCGCACAAGCGGUGGAGCAUGUGGUUUAAUUCGAAGCUACGCGAAGAACCUUACCAGGUCUUGACAUCUUGCGCCACCCUAGAAAAAGGCGUUUCCUUCGGGAACCCAAUGACAGGUGGUGCAUGGUCGUCGUCAGCUCGGGUCGUGAAAUGUUGGGUUAAGUCCCGCAACGAGCCCACCCUUGUACUAGUUGCCACCAUUAAGUUGGGCACCCUAGUGGAACUGCCGGUGACAAACCGGAGGAAGGUGGGGACCACGUUCAAUUCUCCUGCCCCUUUGAACCGGGGCUCCACCGGGGUCAAUGGAAGGGAAAACGAGUCCCGAACCCCGGGGGAAACCAAUCUUUAAAACCUUUUCAGUUGGAAGGGAGGUGAACUCCCCCCCCAAAAUCGAAAUCCUGUAACACGGAACGUCGCCCGGGGAAAUUUUCCGGCCUUUCCCCCCCCCCCCAAAGACC
This 1391-nucleotide ribosomal RNA is filed under the name Limosilactobacillus reuteri. RNAcentral describes it as "bacterial SSU rRNA". It matches the Rfam family "Bacterial small subunit ribosomal RNA". The record is from RNAcentral. Lineage: Bacteria; Bacillati; Bacillota; Bacilli; Lactobacillales; Lactobacillaceae.